This is a long non-coding RNA of Nilaparvata lugens (brown planthopper), 629 nucleotides long. RefSeq lists it as uncharacterized. Lineage: Eukaryota; Metazoa; Arthropoda; Insecta; Hemiptera; Delphacidae. The record is from RefSeq and is a predicted model, not a curated record. The transcript has 4 exons.
GGCACUGACAAAAUUGAUCGAGGUCAGCCAUUUGUAAAAAUUAUUUUUAUUGCAGUUUAUAAAAGUAUUUCAAAUAUUUUAUUGAUUUCAAUUGUUCAUUGUUAAAAAAUUAAUCUUUCUACAAAAUAUUUAACUCCAUUGUUUGUUUCUACAAAAUACUGUGACAUCACUGCAAAAUUCGUCUGAUAGCGAAAAGAAGUAUUACUAACAGCUGAUGGCUCCAAAGAUCAUCAUGUAUCACAACUGUAAGGGAAUCAGAAGAGAUUUACAACAUCUGGGCCCUGGUGAAAAGUUUCCUCAUGAUUUAGACUACAUGGUGUCCUGAAAUGUAGCAUUGGAGGUGUCCUGAAAUGUAGCCUUGGAGGUGUCCUACAAUGGAGCAUAGGCCUACAUGGAACCCUGAACAUCUCUUCAAACUUCAUCCUUGAACACAUUCUAUAGAGAAGAGACAGUAUCCAUAUCUUCUUACUGCUGUUGUGCAUGAUGAGAGUGAGGUGUUUUGAGAAGAAAAGAGGAUUUUGAUGACAGUCAUGUAGCAACAAGAUCUGGGGACACUCUCUGAUAUGGGGAAUCAUAUGGGACUUCUUGAUCUUGGAGAUACUAGAGGAUCACAAGAAAAAUUAAUUGAG